Molecule: ribosomal RNA, 251 nt
Filed under: uncultured bacterium
Lineage: Bacteria
Description: partial 16S ribosomal RNA
Rfam family: Bacterial small subunit ribosomal RNA
Source: RNAcentral
ACGUAGGUGACAAGCGUUGUCCGGAUUUACUGGGUGUAAAGGGCGCGUAGGCGGGAUAGCAAGUCAGUCGUGAAAUACCGAGGCUCAACCUCGGGGCUGCGAUUGAAACUGUUAUUCUUGAGUAUCGGAGAGGAAAGCGGAAUUCCUAGUGUAGCGGUGAAAUGCGUAGAUAUUAGGAGGAACACCAGUGGCGAAGGCGGCUUUCUGGACGACAACUGACGCUGAGGCGCGAAAGUGUGGGGAGCAAACAG